RNAcentral lists this transfer-messenger RNA (353 nucleotides) under Kiritimatiellia. Its description in RNAcentral is "JAAZAB01 sp012514555 Standard tmRNA". It matches the Rfam family "transfer-messenger RNA". From Rfam's summary of the family: Bacterial tmRNA, also known as 10Sa RNA or SsrA, is named for its dual tRNA and mRNA-like properties. Its role is to liberate the mRNA from a stalled ribosome. Lineage: Bacteria; Pseudomonadati; Kiritimatiellota. RNAcentral also lists the same sequence under 1 other name. The record is from RNAcentral.
GGGGGCGACAGGUAUCGACGUGCGGGUUUAAGCUUCAAUUGCGCGCCGAGGACUCCGGUUGGCCUCGUAAAUCAUCCGGAAAAAAAACACAAACGCCAACGAACAAUUGGCUCUCGCGGCUUAGUACCGCGACGUUUGCCUUCUGACACCCGCUAAGGGGGUCAAACGAUUGCAGCGGGUUAGCUUCAGCGUCGUGCGACCGGGCGCCGGAGCGAAACAUUACGUGGACGCUGGCUUGGUUGGCAGCCUGUUCGUCGGCGGCCCUCCGGGCGAGAACCAAUAGGCGAAACACGCGCGUAGAAAUUGAUGCGGCGCUUGCGCGGACGGGGGUUCAAUUCCCCCCGCCUCCACCA